This 253-nucleotide ribosomal RNA is filed under the name uncultured bacterium. RNAcentral describes it as "partial 16S ribosomal RNA". It matches the Rfam family "Bacterial small subunit ribosomal RNA", at positions 524 to 776 of the family's 1533-position model. The record is from RNAcentral.
UACGGAGGGUGCAAGCGUUAUCCGGAUUCACUGGGUUUAAAGGGUGCGUAGGUGGGUUGGUAAGUCAGUGGUGAAAUCUCCGGGCUUAACCUGGAAACUGCCAUUGAUACUAUCAAUCUUGAAUACCUUGGAGGUGAGCGGAAUAUGUCAUGUAGCGGUGAAAUGCUUAGAUAUGACAUAGAACACCAAUUGCGAAGGCAGCUCACUACGGAUUGAUUGACACUGAGGCACGAAAGCGUGGGGAUCAAACAGG